RNAcentral lists this antisense RNA (75 nucleotides) under Couchioplanes caeruleus subsp. caeruleus. Its description in RNAcentral is "ASpks TB sRNA". It matches the Rfam family "ASpks TB sRNA". The record is from Rfam by way of RNAcentral. Lineage: Bacteria; Bacillati; Actinomycetota; Actinomycetes; Micromonosporales; Micromonosporaceae.
CUUGAUGCCGCCGAGGCGCAGCGGCCGGUCCGCGGGGCGGUCCGCGCCGUACGUGGCGAGCAGCGCCUGCGCCUC